UUUUUUUUUUUUUUUUUAAUCCAUUGUUUUCAUAGAUAGAAGAAGUUGAGAAAUAAAGGAGCUCACAGACUCUUUGAGGCUGCAAAACAAAAUAGAAUA
RNAcentral lists this non-coding RNA (99 nucleotides) under uncultured Mamiellales. Lineage: Eukaryota; Viridiplantae; Chlorophyta; Mamiellophyceae; Mamiellales. The record is from RNAcentral.